GUCGAACGAUGAACCGCUUUCGGGCGGGGAUUAGUGGCGAACGGGUGAGUAACACGUGGGCAAUCUGCCCUGCACUCUGGGACAAGCCCUGGAAACGGGGUCUAAUACCGGAUAUGACCGUCUGCCGCAUGGUGGAUGGUGUAAAGCUCCGGCGGUGCAGGAUGAGCCCGCGGCCUAUCAGCUUGUUGGUGAGGUAGUGGCUCACCAAGGCGACGACGGGUAGCCGGCCUGAGAGGGCGACCGGCCACACUGGGACUGAGACACGGCCCAGACUCCUACGGGAGGCAGCAGUGGGGAAUAUUGCACAAUGGGCGAAAGCCUGAUGCAGCGACGCCGCGUGAGGGAUGACGGCCUUCGGGUUGUAAACCUCUUUCAGCAGGGAAGAAGCGAAAGUGACGGUACCUGCAGAAGAAGCGCCGGCUAACUACGUGCCAGCAGCCGCGGUAAUACGUAGGGCGCAAGCGUUGUCCGGAAUUAUUGGGCGUAAAGAGCUCGUAGGCGGCUUGUCACGUCGGUUGUGAAAGCCCGGGGCUUAACCCCGGGUCUGCAGUCGAUACGGGCAGGCUAGAGUUCGGUAGGGGAGAUCGGAAUUCCUGGUGUAGCGGUGAAAUGCGCAGAUAUCAGGAGGAAUCACCGGUGGCGACGGUGGAUCUCUGGGC
Molecule: ribosomal RNA, 659 nt
Filed under: Streptomyces sp. 8(2010)
Lineage: Bacteria; Bacillati; Actinomycetota; Actinomycetes; Kitasatosporales; Streptomycetaceae
Description: bacterial SSU rRNA
Rfam family: Bacterial small subunit ribosomal RNA
Source: RNAcentral